AUGAAGUUAAGAGGAUCGAGAGUAAAGCAGGCCGACUCUGGUUCACCAGGGACCUUCAGUGCGCCUGUUAGGAAGAAAAGAGGGACAAGAGCACCUCCAUCUUCUAGAUGUUUACGUGGUAAAAAGGAUGAUAAUGUCAUGAGCAGUGAUGACGCUAUCACAGAAGAAGGCCAUGCUGCCUCUCCUUCAAGCAGGAAGGCAAAAGAACAAAAUCAUGGAGAGAUAGCUGUUGGAAGCUCAGCUGAUCCCACAGCCCAGAGUGUCUCUGUAAAUGAAGCACGUGAAAACUCGAGGGCAUUGAAAAAUACUUCUAAUGUGCAAACAACUGCUGUUAAGAAGACUACUGCUGAGGAUAAAACUUCUCGAGCAAUCAUGGAUGAUCAGGUUUUUAAUGCAGAAAUGGAUUCCACGUCUUCAGAUGAUGAGAGUGCCGAAGAAGUUGAGGAUGUGAAAGUUUGUGACAUAUGUGGAGAUGUUGGUGAUGAGGUGAAGCUCGCUGUUUGCAAUAGAUGCAACGAUGGUGCUGAGCAUACUUAUUGUAUGCGGGAGAUGAUGGAAAAGGUUCCGGAUGGUGAGUGGUUUUGUGAAGAGUGCCAAACUGAAGUAGAAUAUGAAAAGGAGAAGUUAGAAAAACCUGAGGUGAGGCUUGUCACUUCAAAGGAAGAGUCUGUUCAAGGGAAAAUCAGUAAACCUUUCAAUGAUGCAAACAGCAGAAGUCCUUGUGAGAAUGAAGUGGAGGAUGAAACUGUUGGCAGAAAAGAACGGAAUGAAGCAAAUCAAGGCAUUCGUAUGGUUGAAGAUGCAAAGAUUCCGCCUGUGGCUAAACAAAAUAUUCCUGAACCUGGUGGUUCAUCAAUGGAGUCUUACUCCAGAAAAGGAGUACCUCUGCUACGCGAGAGCUCAUUCAGGUUGGAUAUAGAGAAAGGAAAGCAACCUACUCCCCAAGCGCCAAUCUUACUGGGGUUUAAUGCUAGCAAGAAUCAGGCACCACCACUUACUGGUCAACUCUCCAAGUCCACUUCUUUCAACAACUCUAAGGUGCCCAAGGUGAAGCAACUAGUGAAUGAAGUUCCUCAGAAGACCAAAACUUUGAAGGAUCAGUUGUCCUGUAGUAUGAGAAAAGAGGGGCCAACGAGCUUUUCAACUAAGUCAGCAUCAUUCAAAAAGCCCAAAACUUGUGAGCCAGCAAAUAAGGCAAAGUCUUCCAUCAUACCACCUGCCGAGGAGCUAAGUGUGAUGAAUUUACCAGUGAGCCGAAAUGUAAGUAAUGAUAGAGGCACUUCUAUAUUAGGAUGCCCCUCAAUUACUGGACCACUGGCUUUUCCAGUUCAAUCAAAAGCAGAAUCUGCAGCUCAGCGCCUCACUACAGGAAACAACAUGUCUGCCUCUAGCAAUUCAGGCCAUUUUACCCAAUUUUGUGGUGUUGAUAAAUUAGGUUUGUCUGCAAUGAAACCUCUGAGUGAGCGAAACUUGAAGGAUGCCUCUGCCAAAAGGAAUAAAACGUCUGAAGCUACUGAGAAAGCUACUUCCAGAUCAGCAGAUCAAUCUGAUCGCAUCCUCAAAUGUGGUCCUUAUCAUGACCCAGUGUACAGGCCUAAAGAUACGUCAUCUGGAAGAUCUGUUCCCAGCAGUUCUACUAUAUCAAGUGAUCCGAUGGACAAAUCAAGUCGAGGCUUUUCACCCCUUGAUAAAGCAAUAGUUUCAACUGUUCCAGAGUUGGAUUAUAUUUGGCAGGGUGAUUUUGAGCUGUGGAGGACUGGAAGAUCACCUGAGCUAUGUGAUGGCUUUCAAGCUCACUUAUCAUGUUCUGCUUCACCAAAAGUGCUGGAAGUAGCAAAAAAAUUCCCUUCCAGAGUCCAGCUUGAAGAACUGCCUCGUCGAAACUCAUGGCCCACACAGUUUCAACAAAAUGGACCCACAUAUGAGAAUAUUGGUGUUUUCUUCUUUGCUAGAGAUGCUCAGAGCUAUGAACAUCAUUACAGUAAAUUGGUUCAGAAUAUGCUAAUCAAUGAUUUGGCACUCAGAGGAAAUAUCGAAACAGCUGAAUUAAUUAUAUUCCCUUCUAACAUCCUAUCAAAGAACUCUCAAAGAUGGAACAUGUUUUAUUUUCUAUGGGGUGUGUUUAAAGUGAAAAGAGAAGAUCACUGGAACCUUCCACUUGAUGUACCAAUAAGUAAAUGUGAACCUAAUUUGAAUGAGGAUCCCCUGACUGUGGAUCCGCAUACCUCUGUUUUGUCCUCUAGCCGUUCAUUGUCUGAAGACCAAAAUAAUGCCGCUGACCCUGCCUGCUAUUUGGUUAAGUCAGCUACUUCUGCAGACCAUCAAUGUUUGCAAACUUCGGAAGCUAAUCGUCAGGGAUGUUCAAAUGGAGAUAACUCUUCGGCCCAGGCUGUGGGCGGAAGAGAUUUGGAAGAUCACUGUCAUGAUUCAAGUAUGACAUGUUGUUUAACAAAUAACAGGAGGGCAAUAAAUGAUUUUUCCACUGCUCCGGCAGGAAAACAGAAGAUAAUUGUAUAUCCAGACUCUCAAAAGAAAAUGUGCGAUGGUGGCAAUGUUGUCGAACCCAUUUUUGAUGUAAAUACGAUGCCAGUUACUUGCUCUAUCUCAUCAAUCCACAAACAAGAUAAUCAGAACAGAGCCAUCAACCUUAACAAUGCAGAGAGCCUGAUGGAUGUAGAUCAUGCAAAUAAUAUUGAACUGAACUCAGAUACAGUGGAUCUUGUUUCACAUGCAUCACGUAGUGCACAAAAAAGAAAUGUGGAUAUGGCAAACUGGACUGACGGAGCCAAUGGAUCAGUAGACAAGAAAAUUAAAUUGGAUAAUGUAUCGUCCACUGUGGAGUCUAGUUUAAGUGGGAAGGUCAGAGAUGGAAGGUUAUCAUCCAAGGUACACCCUCUAGCAGCUUUACCUGUUCAUGAUUGCACUGACAAUAAGACCAUGGCAGGAAUCUCGAAGAGUAAUGGAAAGUGCACAUUUCCACUAGAUCUAAACGUGGUGGAUGAUGCAGAUAUAGACAUGGUGGAUGAUGCAGCGACUGGAAAUAGCAUAACCGGUCUGUCUGAAGAUUUACCUGAACAGAACACACAAGAUCUUAAGCCAGCACCGGGGGACAACAUAUCUUCUAGAAAGCCCAUGGUUGAAGAAAAGUUGAAUAAAGGAGAUACACAGCCUACUGAUAUGUCAGGCGCGCUCUCCCUCUCCCUCGCAUUUCCAGCAUCAAAGGAACAAUAG
This 3231-nucleotide ribosomal RNA is filed under the name Triticum aestivum (bread wheat). RNAcentral describes it as "partial small subunit ribosomal RNA". The record is from RNAcentral. Lineage: Eukaryota; Viridiplantae; Streptophyta; Magnoliopsida; Poales; Poaceae.